CAAUAGCGUAUAUUAAAGUUGUUGCAGUUAAAAAGCUCGUAGUUGAAUUUUUGCUUGCCGCCGAUGUCGGAACUUCCGUACGUUCGGCGGCGUGCAUCCUUGGGUGGAACCUGUGUGGCAUUAGGUUGUCGUGCAGGGGAUGCUCAUCGUUUACUGUGAAAAAAUUAGAGUGUUCAAAGCAGGCUUAUGCCGUUGAAUAUAUUAGCAUGGAAUAAUAAGAUAGGACCUUGGUACUAUUUUGUUGGUUUGCGCACCGAGGUAAUGAUUAACAGGGACAGUUGGGGGUAUUCGUAUUCCAUUGUCAGAGGUGAAAUUCUUGGAUUUCUGGAAGACGAACUACUGCGAAANCANNNACCAAGGAUGUUUUCAUNAA
This 373-nucleotide ribosomal RNA is filed under the name uncultured eukaryote. RNAcentral's name for it is "partial 18S ribosomal RNA". It matches the Rfam family "Eukaryotic small subunit ribosomal RNA", at positions 592 to 976 of the family's 1831-position model. The record is from RNAcentral.